CUCCCGGNNGUUANANGCGGACGGGUGAGUAACACGUGGGUAACCUGCCUGUAAGACUGGGAUAACUCCGGGAAACCGGAGCUAAUACCGGAUAGUUCCUUGAACCGCAUGGUUCAAGGAUGAAAGACGGUUUCGGCUGUCACUUACAGAUGGACCCGCGGCGCAUUAGCUAGUUGGUGGGGUAAUGGCUCACCAAGGCGACGAUGCGUAGCCGACCUGAGAGGGUGAUCGGCCACACUGGGACUGAGACACGGCCCAGACUCCUACGGGAGGCAGCAGUAGGGAAUCUUCCGCAAUGGACGAAAGUCUGACGGAGCAACGCCGCGUGAGUGAUGAAGGUUUUCGGAUCGUAAAGCUCUGUUGUUAGGGAAGAACAAGUGCGAGAGUAACUGCUCGCACCUUGACGGUACCUAACCAGAAAGCCACGGCUAACUACGUGCCAGCAGCCGCGGUAAUACGUAGGUGGCAAGCGUUGUCCGGAAUUAUUGGGCGUAAAGGGCUCGCAGGCGGUUUCUUAAGUCUGAUGUGAAAGCCCCCGGCUCAACCGGGGAGGGUCAUUGGAAACUGGGAAACUUGAGUGCAGAAGAGGAGAGUGGAAUUCCACGUGUAGCGGUGAAAUGCGUAGAGAUGUGGAGGAACACCAGUGGCGAAGGCGACUCUCUGGUCUGUAACUGACGCUGAGGAGCGAAAGCGUGGGGAGCGAACAGGAUUAGAUACCCUGGUAGUCCACGCCGUAAACGAUGAGUGCUAAGUGUUANGGGGUUUCCGCCCCUUAGUGCUGCAGCUAACGCAUUAAGCACUCCGCCUGGGGAGUACGGUCGCAAGACUGAAACUCAAAGGAANUUGACGGGGGCCCGCACAAGCGGUGGAGCAUGUGGUUUAANUUCGAAGCAACGCGAAGAANCCUUACCAGGUCUUGNNAUCNUCUGACAACCCUAGAGAUAGGGCUUUCCCNUUNNGGGACANNAGUGANNAGGNGGNNCAUGGNUG
This 990-nucleotide ribosomal RNA is filed under the name Bacillus sp. XYY-2015. RNAcentral's name for it is "partial 16S ribosomal RNA". It matches the Rfam family "Bacterial small subunit ribosomal RNA", at positions 82 to 1051 of the family's 1533-position model. The record is from RNAcentral. Lineage: Bacteria; Bacillati; Bacillota; Bacilli; Caryophanales; Bacillaceae.